GGUCCCGUAGUGGAGCGGUUUAACACGCCUGCCUGUCACGCAGGAGAUCGCGGGUUCGAUUCCCUCGGGACCGCCA
This 76-nucleotide transfer RNA is filed under the name Staphylococcus pseudintermedius E140. RNAcentral describes it as "tRNA-Asp (GTC) (tRNA-Asp-GTC-3-1)". It matches the Rfam family "tRNA". Rfam says of the family: Transfer RNA (tRNA) molecules are approximately 80 nucleotides in length. The record is from RNAcentral. Lineage: Bacteria; Bacillati; Bacillota; Bacilli; Caryophanales; Staphylococcaceae.